Molecule: ribosomal RNA, 750 nt
Filed under: uncultured Chlamydia sp.
Lineage: Bacteria; Pseudomonadati; Chlamydiota; Chlamydiia; Chlamydiales; Chlamydiaceae
Description: bacterial SSU rRNA
Rfam family: Bacterial small subunit ribosomal RNA
Source: RNAcentral
CAUGCAAGUCGAACGGAAUAAUGACUUCGGUUGUUAUUUAGUGGCGGAAGGGUUAGUAAUACAUAGAUAAUCUGUCCUCAACUUGGGAAUAACGGUUGGAAACGACCGCUAAUACCGAAUGUGGUAUGUUUAGGCAUCUAAAACAUAUUAAAGAAGGGGAUCUUCGGACCUUUCGGUUGAGGGAGAGUCUAUGGGAUAUCAGCUUGUUGGUGGGGUAAUGGCCUACCAAGGCUUUGACGUCUAGGCGGAUUGAGAGAUUGACCGCCAACACUGGGACUGAGACACUGCCCAGACUUCUACGGAAGGCUGCAGUCGAGAAUCUUUCGCAAUGGACGAAAGUCUGACGAAGCGACGCCGCGUGUGUGAUGAAGGCUCUAGGGUUGUAAAGCACUUUCGCUUGGGAAUAAGAGAGAUUGGCUAAUAUCCAAUCGAUUUGAGCGUACCAGGUAAAGAAGCACCGGCUAACUCCGUGCCAGCAGCUGCGGUAAUACGGAGGGUGCUAGCGUUAAUCGGAUUUAUUGGGCGUAAAGGGCGUGUAGGCGGAAAGGAAAGUUAGAUGUUAAAUCUUGGGGCUCAACCCCAAGCCAGCAUCUAAUACUAUCUUUCUAGAGGGUAGAUGGAGAAAAGGGAAUUCCACGUGUAGCGGUGAAAUGCGUAGAUAUGUGGAAGAACACCAGUGGCGAAGGCGCUUUUCUAAUUUACACCUGACGCUAAGGCGCGAAAGCAAGGGGAGCAAACAGGAUUAGAUAC